Molecule: ribosomal RNA, 38 nt
Filed under: Aspergillus sp. JS1081
Lineage: Eukaryota; Fungi; Ascomycota; Eurotiomycetes; Eurotiales; Aspergillaceae
Also listed under: 2 other names
Description: partial 28S ribosomal RNA
Source: RNAcentral
UUGACCUCAGAUCGGGUAGGAAUACCCGCUGAACUUAA